GCUGUAUAUGCACUGACGCCUGCCCGGUGCCGGAAGGUUAAGAGGAUCCGUCAACUCUUCGGAGCGAAGCGGUGAAUUCAAGCCCCGGUAAACGGCGGUGGUAACUAUAACCAUCCUAAGGUAGCGAAAUUCCUUGUCGGGUAAGUUCCGACCUGCACGAAUGGCGUAACGACUUCCCCACUGUCUCGACCAGGAGCUCGGCGAAAUUGCAGUACGAGUAAAGAUGCUCGUUAAGCGCAGAAGGACGAAAAGACCCCGGGACCUUUACUAUACCUUGGUAUUGGCGUUAGGCGCGGAUUGUGUAGCAUAGGCGGGAGGCUUCGAAGCGUGGGCGCCAGCUCAUGUGGAGCCGCAAGGUGAAAUACCGCUCUGUUCUCGUUUGACGUCUAACCUCGACAAGUCAUCCUUGUCAGGGACAGUGCCUGGCGGGUAGUUCAACUGGGGCGGUUGCCUCCCAAAGAGUAACGGAGGCGCUCAAAGGUCCGCUCAGCCCGGUUGGCAAUCGGGUGUCGAGUGUAAUCGCACAAGCGGGCUUGACUGCGAGGACGACGGUCCGAGCAGGGACGAAAGUCGGAGAUAGUGAUCCGGUGCCGGCGCACGGGCGCGGCAUCGCUCAACGGAUAAAAGGUACCCCGGGGAUAACAGGCUGAUCAUUCCCAAGAGUCCAUAUCGACGGGAUGGUUUGGCACCUCGAUGUCGGCUCGUCGCAUCCUGGGGCUGGAGCAGGUCCCAAGGGUUCGGCUGUUCGCCGAUUAAAGCGGCACGCGAGCUGGGUUCAGAACGUCGUGAGACAGUUUGGUCUCUAUCCUCUGCGCUCGUUGGAAUCCUGAGGAGGCCUGCCCAUAGUACGAGAGGACCUGGGUGGACGAACCUCUGGUAUGCCGGUUGUCGCGCCAGCGGCACGGCCGGUUGGCUACGUUCGGGAGGGAUAACCGCUGAAAGCAUCUAAGCGGGAAGCCUGCUCCAAGAUUAGGAUUCCGUACGGUCUUGAACCGUUGUAGCCCGCAUGUUGAACACGUGUUUGAUAGGCCGGAGGUGGAAGCCCCGUGAGGGGUGGAGCCGACCGGUACUAACGGGCGACGGCGACACAAC
This 1092-nucleotide ribosomal RNA is filed under the name human gut metagenome. RNAcentral's name for it is "bacterial LSU rRNA". It matches the Rfam family "Bacterial large subunit ribosomal RNA", at positions 1840 to 2925 of the family's 2925-position model. The record is from RNAcentral.